AUCUUCUAUGAAGUCGGACAUUAAGAUAUUUGCAGAAAUUUAAUACGUGCCACUCUUCUCGCUCAAUUUUUUGUCUGGGGGAAUUGGUCUUUUGUUCUUCCAGUUAAAAUGUUAAUUACGUUAACAUAACCCUUUGACCAGACGGUGUUGGAAACCCACAGCUCUGCAGUUUCUUCCUCAGCAGUACUUCCCCCCUUUACCCUCAUGCAGGUCCAUGUUUGGAGGUUGUUAAAAAACCUUUCAUAAUGACGUCAGCCACGAGGACAAGGAAGAUCUUGCUGCUGCCAGAAAAUGGUGGGCCAGAGGCAUGAUGACCAUCUCUACGAUCUCCUCACACUGGCAAGAUUCCAGAGGAAUGAUGUCUUCCUCAGACGUCCUCAUUUUUGUUAUAACGACAUCAAAGAAACUCAAGAUCUU
This is a long non-coding RNA of Mirounga angustirostris (Northern elephant seal), 417 nucleotides long. RefSeq lists it as uncharacterized. The transcript is spliced from 4 exons. Lineage: Eukaryota; Metazoa; Chordata; Mammalia; Carnivora; Phocidae. The record is from RefSeq and is a predicted model, not a curated record.